UGUUUCGGCUAGGGGGCCAUCCCGGCUUACCAACCCGAUGCAAACUGCGAAUACCGGAGAAUGUUAUCACGGGAGACACACGGCGGGUGCUAACGUCCGUCGUGAAGAGGGAAACAACCCAGACCGCCAGCUAAGGUCCCAAAGUCAUGGUUAAGUGGGAAACGAUGUGGGAAGGCCCAGACAGCCAGGAUGUUGGCUUAGAAGCAGCCAUCAUUUAAAGAAAGCGUAAUAGCUCACUGGUCGAGUCGGCCUGCGCGGAAGAUGUAACGGGGCUAAACCAUGCACCGAAGCUGCGGCAGCGAACGUAUCACCCAAGACAACUUUACGGAGUUAACGAUUGACGGAGCGAAGCGACGUCAAAGCGUUCAUUAAAGUCGAGUUGGCUUAGGGAUACGUUCGUUGGGUAGGGGAGCGUUCUGUAAGCCUGUGAAGGUGGCCUGUGAGGGUUGCUGGAGGUAUCAGAAGUGCGAAUGCUGACAUAAGUAACGAUAAAGCGGGUGAAAAGCCCGCUCGCCGGAAGACCAAGGGUUCCUGUCCAACGUUAAUCGGGGCAGGGUGAGUCGACCCCUAAGGCGAGGCCGAAAGGCGUAGUCGAUGGGAAACGGGUUAAUAUUCCCGUACUUGGUGUUACUGCGAAGGGGGGACGGAGAAGGCUAUGUUGGCCGGGCGACGGUU
RNAcentral lists this ribosomal RNA (675 nucleotides) under Salmonella enterica subsp. enterica serovar Poona. RNAcentral describes it as "partial 23S ribosomal RNA". It matches the Rfam family "Bacterial large subunit ribosomal RNA", at positions 911 to 1503 of the family's 2925-position model. Lineage: Bacteria; Pseudomonadati; Pseudomonadota; Gammaproteobacteria; Enterobacterales; Enterobacteriaceae. The record is from RNAcentral.